RNAcentral lists this long non-coding RNA (7364 nucleotides) under Fragaria vesca (wild strawberry). RNAcentral's name for it is "long non-coding RNA (FVES_LNC001588)". The record is from RNAcentral. Lineage: Eukaryota; Viridiplantae; Streptophyta; Magnoliopsida; Rosales; Rosaceae.
GAACACACAUAACCCAAUCACUUACGAGAGAGUCCCUUAUUUUUGUAAGGGUAUAAUCGUCUUUGCAGCAUCUGUCUUCAACCUCUUUCUCACACACUCAGAGUCUCUGACCUUUCUCUCUUGACCAUAUUCGGCUGCAAUGCCCAUCUCUGGUUUCUGGAGAGCAAAGGUAGGAAUUCUUUCCGCUUGUAACAGUUUCUUCUUUAUGAAUGAAAUGCCUUCGUUGGAUUAAAAGAAUAAUUCCUAUUUCUGGUACUUGGGCCCAACUUCACAUCUGAGUUAGGGCUUUCUACUCAAGUUUUGUCUUUGUAAUCCACCUCCCAUUGCGUGUAGAGGAACGGAGAGCUCUUGUAGUUCAGGCACUUUGGCUUUUGUAGAUUCUCAGUUUGCAUUGCUAAUAGCCUCCAUGUCUUAAAGCAGCAGCAGAGACCAAAGUGUUCAAGCCAUCACAAAAGCAAAGACCAACAGUGUGCACGCCUCCCUGAUUUUCAGGUUCCGAUCUCUGUUCCCUAAUUUCAUUAUCUCACAUUACCCCCAGGGUUGGAUUUCUGUCCUCACUUGUUUUACAUACAUAGCUAGGUGAAUUAAGAUAUUACUCAUAUUAGGAGCUUAGAUAAUAACUCCAGGGAAAGAGCUUGCAUUUGAUAGCCUUCAAUUUCAAGAUUACAACUUUGAUCUUACACAAGGGAAAAUCAACACACUUUUAGAUCUUACAUUUUGUUAUUCAAACCCACAAGGCUAAUUGUUCAAAACAUGAAAGAAAGACAAGAUUACAGUGUGUAGAAACUAUAUGACUUGCCAGAAAUGGAAGAUCAUUUUGGCAAUUCGGCUUCACUAGUUGUAGGGACCUUCUCAUAUGAACCCAGCUCUCUCAACUUCUUAGGAAGAAAGCAACGACCCCCGAACUUCUGUUGCAAGAAGAUUAUCACAGCAAACAGUAGGCAUCCAAUAGGAAUGGUGACAUCCCAAGAAGUAGAGUAGAAGUCUGCGACAGGACUUGCAUAAAUGUAUGGGAUACCAUGUUCGUGAUGAACAGAGUUGUCAGUCCUGUAAAGGUCAUAAGCAUGUGGCAGAACUCGAACCGAGGUUGUCCCAAUGUAGAACCAAACAGAUAGAGCUCUUUCCUUUGAUUUGCAGACCAUGUUGAGAAGAAUUUGAGCAAACAGAAAACCAUCCAAGACCAAACCAGCAUAGGAUUUCAAGGUACCCAAAAUGGUAUGUACAUGAUUGCUAGAUUUCAUUAGAAGACCCAAAGUAACUAAAACCCCAAUGGCAUACACUGGUAAAGCCUUCUUUUCCGCAUCCCAAAGUUCAUUUUGCUUCCCAUUUGCUGAUCUUGCUGACCAACUCUGCUGCAGAAGACGGAAUUGCAGCAAGAAAGCUACCAUCGUUACUAACCUUACAAUUAUCUCAUUAACUUCAAGCCAUCCACCACUUCCCAGUAACACAUCUUGGCGGUUGGUGUUGUGAGUGAACAUGGCAUCAAAAUUUAGCAUAAGAGGUAUCAUGUAGCCAAGGGUCAGAAUUAAUAGCAUUAAGAUGGAAAUAGAGGGAAGCACAUCAGGAUGUUUUUUCACAUGGAAGAGUUGUACUGCGACAAAAACACAUGCGAGUGUUGUUGAUAUAAGAACCAAUGUGAUCUCCAUAUCCAUCCUCCAAAUGGAUCGUUCUGCUUCAAUCAGGUAAUCAGCAGCUGAAUUUAAAGCCAAUCGCUCGAAAUGAAGAGGAUCAGACUUUUUUCGUGUGCUUUCAAUGCUUACCUCAAUAUAACCUGUAUUGUUACUGUGUUGAUUUGUUGGAGGGAACUGAAAAUUGACAAGAAUCUCACAAUCUACAGAAUCUUUAGUGGUCUGUUGAUUACUGUUGAAGCCAACAUCUCGACAGCCUGUCAUGCACAGGCUUCCUUCUACAGCAUCAUAGAGCCCUUCUGCUGAAAUCUGCAUUUCCUUUGUUUGUAUUGUAUGGCCUGACUUUCCAGCAGAUUUCUCCAGCAGUUCGAUGUUUAUUCUGUAGCUAAUAUUGGUGGGGUUGCUACAGUUGUAGCUGUAUCUCAUCACAGGAAAGGAGCUCAAAGGAGCUAGAGAGUACCUUACAUCUCCAAUUGCAUUUGAAUAUUGUGUUGAAGAUAAAUACUGCUCAUAGAACUGAUUGCCAACAGAAAGAGGAUCAGAAUUUCCCCAUGCACCUUGUCCUUUAGAACUUUUUGCUGACAUAUCGAAUUUCAUGUCGUAAGAAAACGGACUUGGGUACAUGUUUCUCUUCUGAUCAUUAGCAGCAGACUUCUUUUUUGGGCACAACUUAGUUACCUGGUCUAUUUUAGUAUACACAUAUUUUGGCCCUGGAACUAGAACCCUUCCCGCCUCACUCUGACGAGUUUGAAAUGUGAUCUUGUCAAAGUAACCUGACUCAGUCUUGGAUUUGCUGCUCCAAAUAUGCCCCACGACACUACUAGUGUCUCCGAUUGUCCAUAUUGCAGGAAAUCUCAUGCUCAAUCUAGUUGAACAGUCAUCCACAUGAGAAUUGUUGAAAGAAUCUGUUACAGCCUGGAAGAAUUUACAAGCAGCAAAUUGUAUUCGACUUUUUUGUGCAUCCCAUGAGCCUUCCGCGAUGAAACUUGUAUUGGGGUUGAAAGGCCUCUGAUACCAGUUGUUGCUACUGUCUGAAAAUUCCACCAGUACUCUCAACCUUCUAGUAUACUCUGUACACUCGAUAUCCUUGAACGACAGCAGACGGGGCAAAUGAUCAGAUACGCCAAGUGGAGUGCAGUUCUUUGCAGAAACGCACUGGCUUGAAUAUUUGAGAUCAAAUUCAUACUUUAGUACUACUGUUGAGAGUUGUGAACAAAAUCUCUCCAAGUGCAAAGAACUAGGGGGAUCAUGAUCAUCAAUUCCAACAGAAGAGCUGUUAUCAUUAGAGUUAUUUGAAACCCAAGUAUACUGGUAGUUCAUCUGAGGAAGCAACAAAAUAGAAAUUGGAUCAAAAUAUUUUGCAUCCUUGAUCAUAUCAGAACCGCUGAUCAAACUCUCUAAUGUUCCAGUAAUCAAACUUGUAAUAUUAGUGGAAUUCAUGACAUUAUAGAGCUUAAGAACAGCAGGAUAAUGAAGCAUAGUUUUCCAGUAAGUGUGACCAUAACCAACCAUACAAAGCUUCCCAGAAGAUUCUGACCAGAACCCGUUGAGUCUAAAGCUAACUGACCUUUGAUAUGCUGGAUUUGAUCGAGUCCUGUAGCCUGGAUAAGGCUGGCUGCUGCUGGAGUUUCCUACAUAGUAUAACAUACUCGCCUUUUCCACAUGAAGAGUUGCUCCUAACUUGAACAAGCCUUCCACAUCAGUUGCUUCAAAAUUCCAUUUGCUGAAUUCAAUUGAAUUACGAACUUGUUGAUGGUAAAACGAUGAGUUGCCAUUAGGACUAUUGGCAGUGUCACCAGCAGUGUAGUAGUAACCUGUAUGGCUGAAGGCAAAGGGAUGAAGUCCUCGAUAUAUUUUUGAGUUUGCUUCAGGAACAACUGAAGCACAGUGAUCCGCAUAAGCGAGUUCAUCGUGUGAAACAGAGGAUGAGAUUAAAUUCAAUGAUAGGGAGGUGAAAGCAAAGAAGAUCAUGACAACUUGACAAGCUUUGGCUUUCUGAGGAUAGUCAUAGCUUCUCUGUUAGUAUUUAUGUUUUGGGAGAACGGGAGAAGAAGAACAAUAGGCAAUGCAGUUUUGAAAGGUUGUGAUGGUUCUUAUGUACUAAAGACAGUCUGAAGUACCAGGUCAACCUUCAUCCACUACUACCUAGUAUUACCACAGUCCAGAAGUUAUUACUGAUAGUUUAGAUGAAACCAAUAGACCUAUUUUUUACUUUCCCCAAGUUAAUUUCAUAACAAAAAAUUAAUCAUUUUUCAAGUCUAGUGUAAAAAACAUUUACCCCAACACAGUGAGUACAUUAACCUUUACCAAGAAGGGCUGUUGGGGACGCAGUCGGGACUGCCAUUCCUAUUUUGUUACUCACCAAGAUAAGUGUGAUUAGGGUAUAUGGAUUCCAUAAGACUCAAAGAUGAUAGCUUACACAGUAAUGAUAUUUUGUCAUAUCUUGGCCCUUGUAUUGGUUUGAACUUUAAAGAUUCCAAAGUUAUCAUAGGAUUUGUAUCAUCUGGUCAGCUGGUCUUAUCCCAAGUCAUCAUAACUUGGAAAAUGUUGGCAUGACAAUACAUCGCUAGUAGCUUUCAUUUGGACCAACUUAGGGUCAGUAGUCUAGAUUGAAAUUCUGAUAUUAUUUGUUCAAGCUUAUAAUAUGUUCAGUAGCAUAACUUCUUAUCAUCCUUUUCUUUUGUCUUAGCAUACAGAAUAAAAGUUGUUUUCCUUGCAAAUUUUCUUGUUUCUGUGAAGUAAACAGAGUGCAUAUGUUAAAAGGUAGAGUCCAAUGGCAGUUCUGACUUCUGAGCAAAGAGUAUGAAAGAAAAACAAAAUGACUAGACUUUGACUGACUCUAGUCCAAUUGGAUGAGCAGAGCAUAGAGGUUGUUGAUAUUUUCCUUCUUGUCGAUCAAUCCCAUAAACUUGUUCUGAGAAGUUUCCUUGUUUUUGGGUCCAUAACAAAGUACAUAUACCAUUGGUAACUCCGGUGCUUUAAUUAUUUCAAUGCCUCUAAAUGUAACUACAAAACAUCACCAAAGUAUUAUGCUGAAUUUGAUGCCAUAUGUAUAUAGUAAUAACCCAUGUCCAUAUUGGUAUUGGUAUUGCUGUCUCCAUCUUAGUACUAUCUUUCUCAGGAAGCUCAGCCCUGAAUGAGUUUAAAGUUGUUAUAUCAUUGCUCAUAUAUUAAUGUUUCCUAAAGCUCAACGACUACAAAAAGAAAAGAAAAGAAAGUAUACACGAAAUGGAAAAACGCAUGCUGAAUAAGAUGAACUGAUGGAUUUAUAUCCUGUUUCAUUAUCGUAUUAGUUCCUUAGUUAUGUAACUUGUAUUUUUGCAUUGCUUUUUGUUCUUGCUUUUAUUUUAUUUGAUGUAUCUUUAAAUCUUCCAGUACGGAUAUAUCCACACACAAAGACACUAACAUGAUCGCCAGUAAGCAAAACUAGCAUCUCAUAAUCUUAAUUUGUUCAACCACCUUGUGUUUGAAUUAUUCUGUUUCAUUCUAUGCUGCAGCUAUUCAAGUCCUUCAUGGUCACCAUUGCAUCUCAUUUCUUCCUGAAUCACCUUGUUCCAAUGGCAGACAAAUAAUACUACACUGGUGGUGACAGGGGCAUUGCUGAGCUCUGAUCUGCCUUUCCAGAUAAAUCAAAUUUCCAGGUACUUUUUCGAGUUUGCUUGCCUCUUUGACAGUAUACAUUAAAUAACUGGCAUAUGGAUUUUUGCUCUUCACUUUGUAUGUAUUUAUUUGCUUUAUAGCUAAGUGCAUCAAGUUUAGAAUAAAACUUGAGUAUUCAAUCAACUAAGCGCCUUCCUAAUUAGUCUUACGUUGCCACCUAAUAGUUUCAACUGACUUUGUUGCGUGAGGAUAGUUUGAUAUCAUAAACUUUUGAAAUUAGAAGGUUUCUAUUAUACGAGAUAAAAGUGGAAGUGCAUACAUUAAAGCGGAUAAAACUAAAAGGCUUAAAUCUUACAUUCUUCUUUUUCUUCAAUAUACCAAAAGCCUAGGCAUUUUAAAUAGGAAAGGAAACAAAGGGGUCCAGAUAUGAAGUCUGUCCAAUUCUGUCAUUGACUAUGAUUGAGCUUCCACUGACCAUGAAUACCAGAAAUGGAGUGCUACACUAGAAUACUAGAUUACCUUGGCAACUCAUCUUCGCUAACUGAAGGGACUUCCUCAUACAAACCCUGCUCUCUCAACUUUUUAGGAAGAAAGCAGCGACCCCCAAACUUCUGCUGCAAGAAAAUGAUCAGAGAAAACAGUAGACCUCCAAUAGGAAUAAUUACAUCCCAAGAAGUAGAGUAGAAAUCUGCAACAGGACUGGCAUAAAUGUACGACUCAUCAAGUUGUUGAUGAGAGCUGUGAGUCCUGUAAAGGUCAUAAGCAUGUGGCAGCACUCGAACCAAAGUCGUUCCAAUGUAGAACGGAAUAGACAGAGCCUUUUCCUUUGAUUUGCGGACCAAGUUGAGUAGAAUUUGAGGUAACAGAAAACCGUCCAAGACCAAACCAGCAUAAGAGUUUAAGUCCAUCGAAGCACCAAAAAAUCCAAUGAGAUACAGCGGUAAAGCCUUCUUCUCCACAUCCCAAAGCUCCUUUUGCAUCCCAUUUGCUGAUCUUGCCGACCAUGUCUGCUGCAGAAGACGGAAUUGCAACAAGAAAGCUACCAUUGUUAUAACCCUUACAAUUACCUCAUGAACUGCAAGCCAUCCACCACUUUGCAGUAACACAUCUUUGUGGUUGGUGUUGUGAGUGAACAUGGCAUCAAAGUUUAGCAUAAGAGGUAUCAUGUAGCCAAGGGUUAGAGUCAGUAGCAUCAGGAUGGAAAUUGCGGGAAGAACAUCAGGAUGUUUUUUCACAUGAAACUGUUGUAAUGCCACAAAUACACAUGCAAGAGUGGUAGAUACAAGCACCAAGAUGAUCUCCAUGUCCAUCCUCCAGAUGGACCGUUCUGCUUCAAUCAUGUAACUGGCAGCUGAUGACAAAUCCAAUCGCUCGAAAUGAAGAGGAUCAGACUUUUUUCGUGUGCUUUCAAUGCUCACCUUGAUAAAACCUGUAUUAUUACUGUGCUGAUUUUCUGGAGGGAACUGGAAAUUGAUAAGGAUGUCACAAUCUACAGAAUCCUCUGUAGUCUGGUGAUAAUUGUUUGAGCCAACAUUUCGGCAGCCUACCAUGCACAGGCUUCCUUCUGUGUCAUAUAUCCCUUCAGCAGAAAUCUGCAUAUGCGUUGACCUGUGUUUUAUGAUAUUGCUCGAAUUUUGAACAGAUCUCUCUAGCAUUUGAAUGCUUAUUCUGUAGCUAAUAUUGGUGGGGAUGCUGUGGUUGUAGCUGGAAAUCAUCAUAACAGAGCUCAAAGGAGCCAGAGAGUCAUCUUCAUCUUCAUUGAUUGCAGCUGAGUUUGUAUAUUGCGUUGAAGAAAGAAGCUCGUCGUACAACUUAUUGCCGACAGAGACAGGUUCAGAAUAUCCCCAUGCAUCUAAACCCUUGGAACUGCUAGCUGACAUAUCAAAUCUCAUUUCAUAAGAAAUAGGACUUGGGUAAGCAAUGGUCUUGUUAGGAGCGGAUUUCUUUCUUGGGCACAACUUGUUUACUUGAUCAAGUUUUGUAUACUCAUAUUUGGUGCCAGGAAUUAGAACCCUUCCAGCCUCACUCUGUUGAGUUUUGAAUGUGAUCUUUGGGAAGUAACCAGACUCCGUCUUGGAUUUGUUGCUCCAAAUAUGCCCCACAACGCUACUAGUGUUUUCGAUUGUCCAUGUUGUA